GCUCAGUUUUAUUCUUGCUUUUUUAUUCGGUGUUGCCUUACUUUAUAUGUAAGUUCUUGCGUGAUUUGUUCCUUUUUCUUGAUGGUUAAGGGUAGUAGAGUAGUGGUUGAUUUGGUGAUUCGCAUUAUUUAGUUUUAUAUAUCUUGGUUUCUAGGAUUUAGUAAUGGCUUAUAUCGCCGGUUAAGUUUGUGCCAGCAGCCGCGGUUAUACAUUAGGCGUUAUUGAAUAUUUUCGGUUUUGCAGUUUUAUUAUUUGAUGUUUAGGCAUUGAUUUAGAUGACUUCUGUGUAGUUGGGUGGAAUCUUUAUUUUUAUUGAUUGUCUGUUGAUUUAUUUGUAGGCUGUGAAGUCUUUGUUGUAAACUAGGAUUAGAUACCCUAUUAUUUUGGAUGUUAAUUAUGUUUACCUGGGUAGUAUUAGUUAUGUUCUUGAAACCCAAAGGAUUUGGCGGUAUUUCUACCUUUCAGAGGAAUCUGCCCCGUGAUCGAUAGUCCGCGUUGUACCUUACUUGGAAUUCUUUUUGUUUGUAUACCGCCGUUAUAAUGAGAAUCUUUUUAGUGUUUAAUUUUCUGGCUUCGUUAUUGUGACUUAUUUCAGGUCAAGGUGCAAUUAUUUUUAAGUGUGAGGUGGAUUACAUUAUGUUGUUGAGUUUGGAUUUUUGGUUGGAAUUAUUAGGAUGAAAUUGGAUUUGAUUGUAAUUUGUUGAAGAUUGUAUUGAUGAUAUUGGUACUGGAAUAUGUACACAUCGCCCGUCGCUCUCAUUUUUUUUUGUUGAGAUAAGUCGUAACAUAGUGGUCGUACCGGAAGGUGUGGCUGGAUUGAU
Molecule: non-coding RNA, 821 nt
Filed under: Pterotermes occidentis
Lineage: Eukaryota; Metazoa; Arthropoda; Insecta; Blattodea; Kalotermitidae
Source: RNAcentral